GACGAACGCUGGCGGCGUGCUUAACACAUGCAAGUCGAGCGGUAAGGCCCUUUCGGGGGUACACGAGCGGCGAACGGGUGAGUAACACGUGGGUGACCUGCCCUUAGCUCUGGGAUAAGCCUGGGAAACUGGGUCUAAUACCGGAUAUGACUCCAUGACGCAUGUUGUGGGGUGGAAAGCCUUGUGCGGCUAGGGAUGGGCCCGCGGCCUAUCAGCCUGUUGGUGGGGUGAUGGCCACCAAGGCGACGACGGGUAGCCGGCCUGAGAGGGCGACCGGCCACACUGGGACUGAGACACGGCCCAGACUCCUACGGGAGGCAGCAGUGGGGAAUCUUGCGCAAUGGGCGAAAGCCUGACGCAGCGACGCCGCGUGAGGGAUGACGGCCU
Molecule: ribosomal RNA, 387 nt
Filed under: uncultured bacterium
Lineage: Bacteria
Description: bacterial SSU rRNA
Rfam family: Bacterial small subunit ribosomal RNA
Source: RNAcentral